This 376-nucleotide long non-coding RNA is filed under the name Hordeum vulgare. Its description in RNAcentral is "long non-coding RNA (HVUL_LNC012340)". The record is from RNAcentral. Lineage: Eukaryota; Viridiplantae; Streptophyta; Magnoliopsida; Poales; Poaceae.
AUUUCUUAACGCUUCUGUUGUGCGAUCUACAAGGGUACGUAGAUCGGAAAUCCCCUCUCGUAGAUGGACAUCACCAUGAUAGGUCUUCGUGCGCGUAGGAAUUUUUUUUUCCCAUGCGACGUUCCCCAACACGAACAACAUUCGGUAACCACACAUAUAACUUAAUAACUAUACUAAAACAUCAUCGAACCUUAAGUUUGCACACCCUACGGGUUCGAGAACUAUGUAGACAUGACCCGAGACACUCCUCGGUCAAUAUCCAGUAGUGGGACCUGGACGCCCAUACUGGAUCCUACAUAUUCUCCGAAGAUCUUAUCGGUUGAAGCUCAGUGCCAAGGAUUCAUAUAAUCCCGUAUGUCAUUCCCUUUGUCCNNNN